GAUGAACGCUAGCGGCAGGCUUAAUACAUGCAAGUCAAGGGGGUAGCAAUACUACCGGCGCACGGGUGAGUAACACGUACAUAACAUACCAUAUACUGGGGUAUAGCUUUGGGAAACUGAAGGUAAUCCCCCAUAACAUUGCGAGAGGGCAUCUGAUUGCAAUUAAAGUUUCGACGGUAUAUGAUUGAUGUGCGUUUGAUUAGCUUGUUGGUAGGGUAACGGCCUACCAAGGCGACGAUCAAUAGCUGGCGUGAGAGCGCGACCAGCCACACUGGAACUGAGACACGGUCCAGACUCCUACGGGAGGGCAGCAGUAGGGAAUAUUGGACAAUGGGCGAAAGCCUGAUGCAGCAACGCCGCGUGAGGGAUGAC
Molecule: ribosomal RNA, 372 nt
Filed under: uncultured bacterium
Lineage: Bacteria
Description: bacterial SSU rRNA
Rfam family: Bacterial small subunit ribosomal RNA
Source: RNAcentral